UCCCUGGUGGCUCAGACGGUAAAGCAUCUGCCUACAAUGCAGGAGACCCGGGUUUGAUUCCUGGGUUGGGAA
Molecule: transfer RNA, 72 nt
Filed under: Bos taurus (domestic cattle)
Lineage: Eukaryota; Metazoa; Chordata; Mammalia; Artiodactyla; Bovidae
Also listed under: 1 other name
Rfam family: tRNA
About the family: Transfer RNA (tRNA) molecules are approximately 80 nucleotides in length. Their secondary structure includes four short double-helical elements and three loops (D, anti-codon, and T loops).
Source: Rfam by way of RNAcentral